GCCAAUCGUACAUAUUUGCCAUCAACAACAAAUUUAGAACUUGAAUUUAUCUUAUGCUCAAUUGUGUCACUGACUUGGCUUUCGUCUUCUACCAUGCCAGACACAUUCACAGACUUCAGAACGAUCUUUUUAAGCUUCUUCAACUUCAGAACUCCAUCGGAAUUAGAUUUCAAAGCUAAUGUGAUCACUUUCUUCCACUUUAUCUUCUUCUUGCUGUCGUUUCUGUUAGACCCAUCCACGACAGCUUUAUCUUGCUUCACUGUUUCAUUUUUGGCUUUCUUCUUGUGUUUUGUUUCCUGUUCUUUUUCGACCUGGAUCACUUCACCAAUAUCUAAUUCAGCAGAAAGUUUGUCACCACCAUUUUCAGAUUCCCUGUCUUUCCUUUUCUUAUUUGAAAGAAAAUUAUCAUUUUCUGCUUCUUUUGAGUUUUGCUCCUUCAAUCCCUCACCUGCUUUGUUCUCAGGAAUCUCGCUCUUUUGAUUAUUAUCAUUUAAGACAUCCACACCACCAUCAGCUGGUUCAGUCUGCUUAGGCUGCUUAGCAGCAUGGAAAGCCCGUGCCUUCGCUCUAUGUUUCUUACCAUCAGCAUGGAGAAGUAGAGUCUGCUUGCUAGUUGCAUUGGUAUUACACAAACUACAAAACCAAGGUGGACGGUCUGACAAUCCAACAUUGAUGUCUACAUCAGGCUUUUGCUUAGCAUCACUGCUGGGCUUGACAGGAGCUCCAUUUGAAGCUUUUCCUUGGCCCUUUGGACCAUAUUUCUCCGCUUCAGAGAUGCAUUGGGUGUGAGUUUCCACAGUUUGACGACUAAAAGUCUCUCCACAAUCAAUGCAAGAUAGCUUAAAAGCAGAACACAUUCGAAAGUGGUUUGCCAAUUUGGGUUUCUUCAAAUUGUCUCCACAAUCUUCACACUGAAACCAAACCAUUCUGAGCUAAUUCAACCGGAAAACAAAAAAUGGUGUGUGGUUAGGGUUUUAGGGAUUGAGG
RNAcentral lists this unclassified non-coding RNA (987 nucleotides) under Hevea brasiliensis (rubber tree). The record is from RNAcentral. Lineage: Eukaryota; Viridiplantae; Streptophyta; Magnoliopsida; Malpighiales; Euphorbiaceae.